GUCAGGGCCGGGGCCGCCAUUUUGAGCGGCUCCGCGGGCGGCGGCGGCGGCGGCCGCGGGCGGGGGAGGAGGAGCGCGGCCCCCAUGGCCGGGCAGUUCGACUCCGAGGACCGGGCGAGCUGGUACUGGGGGCGGCUGAGCCGCGCCGAGGCCGUAUCGCUGCUGCAGGGGCAGCGCCACGGCACCUUCCUGGUGCGCGACUCGGGCACCAUCCCCGGCGACUUCGUGCUGUCCGUGUCCGAGAGCUCCCGCGUCUCGCACUACAUCGUCAACAGCCUGGGGCCGGCGGGAGCCCGGCGGGCCGGCGGCGAGGGCCCCGGGGCCCCGGGGUCGAAUCCCACCAGAUUUCGAAUAGGUGACCAAGAGUUUGAUUCUUUGCCAUCUUUACUGGAAUUCUACAAAAUACACUAUUUGGACACUACAACCUUGAUAGAACCUGUUUCGCGCUCGAGGCAGAAUAGCGGGGUUAUCCUCAGGCAGGAGGAGGCCGAGUAUGUGCGAGCGCUCUUUGACUUUAAUGGCAAUGAUGAGGAAGACCUCCCCUUUAAGAAAGGAGACAUACUGAGAAUCCGGGAUAAGCCUGAAGAGCAGUGGUGGAACGCAGAAGACAGCGAAGGGAAGAGGGGAAUGAUACCCGUUCCUUACGUCGAGAAGUAUAGACCUUCCUCUGCUUCAGUCCCCACUCUGAUUGGAGGUAACCAGGAUAGUUCCCACCCACAACCACUGGGUGGGCCGGAGCCAGGGCCCUAUGCCCAGCCCAGCAUCAACACUCCGCUCCCUAACCUUCAGAAUGGCCCUAUUUAUGCCCGGGUUAUCCAGAAGCGAGUCCCUAAUGCCUACGACAAGACAGCCUUGGCUUUGGAGUAGCAGAACUCUGCCACCUUGACCUCACCAAAGAGGAGUACUUGGAAUAAAACCACAACAUACAGAAGUCUUCACUUGAACCUUCAGUUUUGCUUUGAAGCAUAUGGGGUAUAUUUAGUUUUAAAACUUCUGAUGAAGACUGAGACCUGGCUUUCUAGCAGGGUCGGUGAGCUGGUAAAGGUCACAAAGAUUAACAUGAGUGGUCAGUGGGAAGGAGAAUGUAAUGGCAGACGUGGUCACUUUCCAUUCACACACGUCCGUCUGCUGGAUCAACAGAAUCCUGACGAGGACUUCAGCUGAGUGUGGCUCAACAGUUGCUCUUACAGAUGGGAACAAUCUCAACUUGUUUUUAUUGCAGAUGCCAUCAAGACUAAGCUCGGACCGACGCUGCAAGUGGUAUUGCUUGGAUAAGCAUUCUGAUAACCUGCAAACCCCUGGGACUCAACACCACCAUUCCUUAAGCAAGGGUCAUGUAAUUCAGGGUACGACAGUAGAUUACUCGUGUGUCCAGUGGCAGAACUAGGCCAUGAUUCUAGGUUGUAAUGCCUGCUUAUGUCCACGUGCACGGCAGCCUGGACCUUGCCAGCAGCAGCAGCUGGAGAAAGCAGUGCUGUAGGUGUUCAGAGAACAUUUAUAGCUCUCUCCGGGCCCAUUGCUUAUGUUGCUUCUUCCUCAGGCAAUGAAGAUCAACUGUAGACAAUUCAAUACCUUGGUAGAAAUUUCCCAAAUUUUUUCCUGGAGCUCUCUCCAUGUGUUUUGCCAUCCUGGGUUCUCUGUCCUAGAAAGGCUCCGCAGCGCUCUGCAUGGGCAGUUAGCUGUGCACAGCACAGACUGAUGCAGGGCCCGUCGGGGACAGCCUUAUGAUUUACAGAUCCUUACCAUUUUCAUGGUAAAUGACAGAUCCAAUCAACCUCUGAAUUCUAGAAGCUUGUGGACACUAGAUUGAUUUCUUCAGUACUGUUGAUGCUUCAAACAUAGCAGCUGAUUUUAAUUUAAGAUUUUUAUUAACACGCAGUAUCUCCUUUUAUCCACAAAUACAAGGCUUAUGGAAGUGUAAACCUCCAUAUCAGUGCUGAAAAAUACGUGCAUAGCACUUUAAUACGUAGCUUUAAAGCAGUGUUUGAUUCACUAAAUAUACUAAAAUAUUGACACUGCUUUCCAAUAAAAUUAAAUUGUGUAGGGCUAGUUUAAUUUUUCUAGAAUUCUUCAAUAUUGUACAAUACUGUUACAGUACAAAUCAGUGUCAAACACGAUGAACUGACAAACCAAAUAUUAGUUUUAUUUUAAAGAUACUCUGGGGACUCUUCUGGUUUAAUUCCCAUCUGUAAAAUAUUGAUAGUGAAUUCAUGAGGAUUUUAUUUUUAAUAAACUAAUGGAAAAUAAUUGUGUGCUUCUGGAUUGAUUCUCAAAAGGCAUAAUAAAUAUGGCUUCCUAGCUCAUGAUGAAAAUCAGUGCAUUGAGUAGGCAGUAUUAUGCACUGCUUGAUGGUUGGUUUUUAGUCUGUUCUUCUAAUUAUCUGGUUUUCUCUAAUAUAAAUCAGAAUGGAUUUAGUAAGUUUUGUAAACUGAAAUUAAACACUGAAGUAACUCUCCCUUGCCUGUACCCUGGGUUUUUUCCAAGCACAGAACUCUGGUGACCAAACUAAAUUUUGUAACUUUGACUACAGUAUAAUCCAUGCAGAAGGGUUUUUCUAGAUAGUAUCAAACUGAAACUGUUGGGUUGGGUUGCUUCAGACCUGUGGGACCCCAAUGGCUCAUGGGUUGCACGUGCUGCAAAGGCCUUUGCUGCAAGGCACCAACCCUACAACAAUACUGGUAACACUUUACCUCAGAACUCUGCAACAUGCUGGAAAUUAUAAUAUUUCUGUUCUAUUUAAGUACUAGUUGUUUUACUUCAAAACUAAUCCAUCAGCAAGUCUGAGUAAUGUUCAGGUUAUGGGCACUCAUUAAUUCUGUGGACGAAUGUUAAUCACACUUGUCCAUCACCAGUCUCAUGAACACUACUGAGGAUUAUUAUCAAAAACUGACAGCAGGGACAGUGGGGUAAGAAUGGAAACAAGGAAUUGCAGUUCUGUUCUGCCUUGGAUUGCUCUUCUGGUUCGGGUGACGUGCCAGUGAUUGUGGGAGCUCUUCUAGCUUAGUACAAAAUUUACUUUGAGGGGACAUAAAAUGCAAAACUAACUCUAGGUUCUGUAACUCAUCGGGUUCUUUAAGGCUGAUUUAUGGUUUUCCUCUGAUCUUGAUAUUCACUGUAACUGCAGGGGUUUGUUCAAUAGCUGCACUCUAAAUAAUACACUUAAUACUGAGUUUUUCAGUUGCCCAUAAUAUGCUUAUAUUUUUCUUCAGGUAUUGCAAAAGAAACCUAAUAAACAGUGUCUCCUUAGAGUGACAAUGUUUGAAGUAUUUUUGCCAACUGCAGUUAAUGAAAGCCCAUGUAUUUGUACCUUUCCAAUCAGGAAUUCAUAUACCAAAAUAUCAGUUAGUUUUAUUAUGCAAACCUUGCCUUUUUAAUAUGAAAGACAUGAAUUGAAUUAACUAGCAAGUACCCUGCAAACUUUGUAGAUGUGCUUUUGUUAAGACUGUAUAAAUUGUGAAUAUUUGUACACUUUGAAAGAGCAAAAUAAAGAAACUAGAGGAGUCUUAAUAGCUGCUGUUACAGUAGAAUCCCAAGUUCUUGUUAAGCAGUUUUUUUAGCUGACUGAUACAUUAAUGCAACUGUUUUCCACUCUUCAGUUCUAAGCUGAAAUGUGAUUUUGUUUCAUAGGUGAUAGAAAGGAGUAUGAAUUUGGACAAAAUAGACAUUUCAACUUGUCAGGCUCUUCAAGGCAAAUAGGUAGAACCUAUGUCCAUGAACAUAUAGAUGAAAUCCUUUUGUGGCCUUUGUUUAUCCUCUUCUAUUUGUUCCCUCCCUUCUCCCCAAUGCGUGCAAAAAAAUCAUUGCUCAGAAUGUUGGUCACAAUCUUUUGUCUCUUCCUUGGCUGUGGUUUUGGUCUCUUGUGCAUAGGCAGGUGUUAGAACUAGAAUAAUAAUUUCUAGAAAUACACCAUGAAAGCAGAAUGCUCAAUUACACUGUGUUCUUCUGGUGCAUUUACACAUUAUAUCACACUAAAAAUUACAACUGGCUGCUAUGGUUUUUUAAUAUAUAUUUCAUUUUGGUAAGCCCCAGCCUUUUUACUAAUAUAUGACCUGGUUAAAUCUUGUUAAUCUGUUUGAAUUGUAUUUGUUAAUAAUGCAAAUAUUUCUAAUCAUCUUUAAGAGUAAAACACUUCCUUUUUGUUAAUGGUUUUGGGGAAGGAUUCUAACCAAACCUGUUUGAAGAAAAAUAUGAACAUGUGACAUUGUAUUAUAACACUAUCCACUUUCUUGACAGCUAAAGUCCUUUUUUUAUUUUUUGUAGCAUGUAAUGUAUAUGUUCAUAGUACGUGAAGUAAAUAAAAGUAUAGCCAAAACUUUGA
Non-coding RNA from Lonchura striata (white-rumped munia), 4318 nucleotides. NCBI's taxonomy places the organism in Eukaryota, Metazoa, Chordata, Aves, Passeriformes, Estrildidae. The record is from RefSeq and is a predicted model, not a curated record.